UAGCGAUACGCUGGCACGAGUGCUGUUCGAUAUGCAUUUUUAUGAUGAUUCUGAGGUUGAAGAGGUGAAGCAAAAGGGGCUGACGAUGUCGAUGUAUACGCCAUUCUCAGUGUGCAGCAUUGCAGAUGUGCCACAACAACGAGAUGGUGCGUCUUGCGGAAUCUUGACCGUCAAAUUCAUCGAGCAUCUCAGUGCUGGGAUGUCGGUAGAUAAAGUUGACCCUUUGAAGAUCAAAUAUUACCGACUCAAGCUUGCAAUUGAGGGUUUAAGGGGGGAGGCAUAUUUAUGAGGUAAAUUUCUUCAUGUCCGUUAAUUCACCUCACGCUGUAAGUUUCUUUUCGGCUGUCUAUGCCAACACAAAUACAAAAACUGAUUUGGUACUAUGAACUGAUUUGGCAGUAUGAUAUUUGGCAAUAUGAACAAUGAACUGAUUUGGUGGCAGUUACAAAUGAACAUAGUCUUCAUUCUGGAACUGCCCUUCAUAAAUGCCUUCAUCUGCACUGAACCCAAUUGUUAUUGCAGGUCGGUCUCAACCAAGGGUUGAUUGCAAUAUUCCAACCAAGAUGACCAUACACUGUUAUUUGAUGUAGGUUUUUUGUAUGACAUGGCUUUGCUUUAAUUGGUUUGGUUGUUCCAAGUUUUAUGUACACAAUCUCACAGUAACUGCCGAGUCGUUUUUCAUUUCAUGUAUUUGUCCGUGGUAUUUUGUUCCCCAAUAUUCUGAUUAUGGUCAAUAUGUAAACAUUACUGUGGAGCUUAUUGCAUGUUUUCUUUAUUUUGUGGCCA
Molecule: long non-coding RNA, 786 nt
Organism: Prunus dulcis (almond)
Lineage: Eukaryota; Viridiplantae; Streptophyta; Magnoliopsida; Rosales; Rosaceae
Exons: 2
Source: RefSeq, a predicted model, not a curated record